Molecule: non-coding RNA, 182 nt
Filed under: Pediococcus claussenii
Lineage: Bacteria; Bacillati; Bacillota; Bacilli; Lactobacillales; Lactobacillaceae
Also listed under: 1 other name
Description: 6S RNA
Rfam family: 6S / SsrS RNA
About the family: E. coli 6S RNA was the first non coding RNA to be sequenced, but its function was unknown until recently. It consists of 184 nucleotides that fold into an extended hairpin structure with a large single-stranded internal bulge.
Source: RNAcentral
AGAAAUCUUUGGUAUUCGACUUAUCGGAUCCAUAUUCUUCCGACAACAUCUAUUAGGGGAACGAGGAUCGCAUAUGAAUUGUAUGCCCUUCGUUGGGAAACAUGCUGUAUGUGUAUUCGUACCCACCUAAGCUUACUUGGGUUAGAUAAUGACCGAUAAACACCGGUACUAAAAGUUUUCGC